AUGGCUUCAUCCGCCGCUGCUUCCUCCCCUCUCUCCGGCCAGAUCACCGAGCGCCUCACCCGCACCAACUACGUCUUAUGGUGCACCUAGAUCACACCGCAACUGAGAGGGGCUGGAGUCUUCGGAUACGUUGAUGGAAGCACGACGGAGCCGGCCGAGUUUGUCGUCAGCAAGGACAAGGAUGGAAAGGAGGAAACCAUCCCCAACCCCCUCCAUGCCGUCUGGUUCCGAGAGGACCAGCAGGUACUUGGGUAUCUUCUCAAUAAUCUGUCAAAACAAGUGCUAGUG
This 288-nucleotide ribosomal RNA is filed under the name Triticum aestivum (bread wheat). RNAcentral's name for it is "partial small subunit ribosomal RNA". The record is from RNAcentral. Lineage: Eukaryota; Viridiplantae; Streptophyta; Magnoliopsida; Poales; Poaceae.